UAGCAUAAUAAUUAGUUUUUUAAUUAAGAACUAGAAUGAAUGGUCUUACGAGAAAAAAACUGUCUCAAUUUAAGUUAAAUUAAAAUUUUAUUUUUAAGUAAGAAAGCUUAAAUAAAUUUAAAAGACGAGAAGACCCUAUAGAGUUUUAUUUAUAUUAAUUAUUUUAAAAUUAAAGAAUUUUAUAUUUAAUUUAAUUAUAUUGUAAUUUAAUUGGGGUGAUUUAAAAAUUAGUGAAACUUUUUUUUAUUAAAAUAUCAUUAAUUUAUGAUUAAUUGAUCCAUUUUUAAAUGAUUAUAAGAUUAAAUUACCUUAGGGAUAAC
This 320-nucleotide ribosomal RNA is filed under the name Epirinus sebastiani. RNAcentral's name for it is "partial 16S ribosomal RNA". Lineage: Eukaryota; Metazoa; Arthropoda; Insecta; Coleoptera; Scarabaeidae. The record is from RNAcentral.